RNAcentral lists this unclassified non-coding RNA (21 nucleotides) under Mus musculus (house mouse). Its description in RNAcentral is "oocyte_clustered_small_RNA10152". The record is from RNAcentral. Lineage: Eukaryota; Metazoa; Chordata; Mammalia; Rodentia; Muridae.
GAAGCUCUCUGGCUCUCCGUG